Molecule: ribosomal RNA, 156 nt
Filed under: uncultured bacterium
Lineage: Bacteria
Description: partial 16S ribosomal RNA
Rfam family: Bacterial small subunit ribosomal RNA
Source: RNAcentral
UGAGGAAUAUUGGUCAAUGGGCGAGAGCCUGAACCAGCCAAGUCGCGUGAGGGAAGACGGUCCUAUGGAUUGUAAACCUCUUUUGCCGGGGAUAAAGGUGUCCACGUGUGGAUGUUUGCAGGUACCGCAUGAAUAAGGACCGGCUAAUUCCGUGCC